UGCGCCUUUCCCCUGAGCGGUCGGGGGAA
This 29-nucleotide small RNA is filed under the name Bombyx mori (domestic silkworm). RNAcentral's name for it is "ovarian small RNA-33960". The record is from RNAcentral. Lineage: Eukaryota; Metazoa; Arthropoda; Insecta; Lepidoptera; Bombycidae.